GCGACAACGGCAGGAUUCGAACCUGCGCUCCCGAAGGAACUUGCUUUCGUCGAUUCGAGGCAAGCACGUUAACCACUCCGUCACGUUGCC
Molecule: transfer RNA, 90 nt
Filed under: Fusarium acuminatum CS5907
Lineage: Eukaryota; Fungi; Ascomycota; Sordariomycetes; Hypocreales; Nectriaceae
Description: tRNA-Phe
Source: RNAcentral